This 253-nucleotide ribosomal RNA is filed under the name uncultured bacterium. RNAcentral describes it as "partial 16S ribosomal RNA". It matches the Rfam family "Bacterial small subunit ribosomal RNA", at positions 524 to 776 of the family's 1533-position model. The record is from RNAcentral.
UACAGAGGGGGCAAGCGUUGUUCGGAAUUACUGGGCGUAAAGGGCGCGUAGGCGGCCUUCUAAGUCGAACGUGAAAUCCCCGGGCUCAACCCGGGAACUGCGUCCGAUACUGGAAGGCUUGAAUCCGGGAGAGGGAUGUGGAAUUCCAGGUGUAGCGGUGAAAUUCGUAGAUAUUCGGAAGAACACCAGUGGCGAAGGCGGCUCACUGGACUGGUAUUGACGCUGAGGUGCGGAAGCGUGGGGAGCAAACAGG